This 1436-nucleotide ribosomal RNA is filed under the name uncultured prokaryote. Its description in RNAcentral is "partial 16S ribosomal RNA". It matches the Rfam family "Bacterial small subunit ribosomal RNA". The record is from RNAcentral.
GUUUGAUCCUGGCUCAGGGCGAAUGCUAGCGGCGCGCCUAACACAUGCAAGUCGAGCGGUAGUAUUUUCUAGCUUGCUAGUUAAAUUGAGAGCGGCGAACGGGUGAGUAACAUGUUGAUAUUUGCCCCCAAGUCAGGGAUAGCUCAUCGAAAGAUGAAUUAAUACCGGAUAGUCUCUUCGGAGUAAAGAUUUAUCGCUUGGGGAGAAGUCUACAUUCUAUCAGCUUGUUGGUAAGGUAAUGGCUUACCAAGGCUAUGACGGAUAGUUGGUCUGAGAGGAUGAUCAACCACAAUGGAACUGAGACACGGUCCAUACUCCUACGGGAGGCAGCAGUGAGGAAUCUUCCACAAUGGGCGAAAGCCUGAUGGAGUGACACCGCGUGAAGGAUGACGGUUUAACGAUUGUAAACUUCUUUUCUGAAGGAGCAUAAUGAGAGUACUUUAGGAAUAAGGGACGGCUAAUUACGUGCCAGCAGCCGCGGUAAUACGUAAGUCCCGAGCAUUACCCGAAAUCACUGGGUGUAAAGGGUUCGUAGGCGGACCUAAAAGUUGGAUAUUAAAGACCGAAGCUCAACUUCGUGUUUGUAUUCAAAACUAUAGGUCUAGAAUCAGGGAGAGGUAAGCGGAAUUUUGAGUGUAGGGGUGUAAUCCGUAGAUACUCAAAGGAACACCAAAAGCGAAGGCAGCUUACUGGAACUCGAUUGACGCUCUGGAACGAAAGCGUGGGUAGCGAAAAGGAUUAGAUACCCUUGUAGUCCACGCCCUAAACGAUGAUAACUAAGUGUUGCAAUUUAUUGCAGUGCUGUAGCUAACGCGUUAAGUUAUCCACCUGAGGAGUACGGUCGCAAGAUUAAAACUCAAAGGAAUAGACGGGGACCCACACAAGCAGUGGAUCACGUGGUUUAAUUCGAUAGUAAACGAGGAACCUUACCCAGACUUGACAUCUACCGAAUCUUUUAGAGAUAGAAGAGUGCCUUUAUUAGAACCUAGUGACAGGUGCUGCAUGGUUGUCGUCAGCUCGUGCCUUGAGGUGUUCGGUUAAGUCCGUUAACGAGCGCAACCCAUGUCUUUAGUUAUUAUGUCUAAAGAGACUGCCUAUGUUAAAUAGGAGGAAGGUGUGGAUGACGUCAAAUCAGCAUGGCUUUUACGUCUGGGGCUACACACAUGAUACAAUGGUCUGUACAAAGAGCAGCGAUACCGUAAGGUGGAGCCAAUCUCAUAAAGCAGAUCUAAGUCCGGAUUGAGGUCUGCAACUCGACCUCAUGAAGUUGGAAUUGCUAGUAAUCGUGAAUCAGAUAUGUCACGGUGAAUGUGUUCCUGGGUCUUGUACUCACCGCCCGUCAUGGCAUGGAAGGAAGUAAUAUCGGAAGUCCCCCUAGUAAUAUGGGGGCCCAUGGUAGGACUUCUGACUGGGCUAAAGUCGUAACAAGGUAGCCG